UCCCUGGUGGCCUAGCAGUUAAGGAUCCAGCAUUGUCAUUGCUAUGGGCCAGGUUCAAUCCCUAGCCUGGGAA
RNAcentral lists this transfer RNA (73 nucleotides) under Sus scrofa (pig). It matches the Rfam family "tRNA". From Rfam's summary of the family: Transfer RNA (tRNA) molecules are approximately 80 nucleotides in length. Their secondary structure includes four short double-helical elements and three loops (D, anti-codon, and T loops). The record is from Rfam by way of RNAcentral. Lineage: Eukaryota; Metazoa; Chordata; Mammalia; Artiodactyla; Suidae.